GGGUCAGUAGGUUGGUCGUGCCACCGGUACGUACUGGUCUCACUGAUUCCUCCUUCCUGAAGGACCGUAAUGCCAUUAAUUUGGUGUUGCGGGGAAACAGGACUGCUACUUUGAAAAAAUUAGAGUGUUUAAAGCAAGCCAACGCUUGAAUACAUUAGCAUGGAAUAAUGGAAUAGGACGAUCGAUCCUAUUUUGUUGGUUUCUAGGAUUGACGUA
RNAcentral lists this ribosomal RNA (216 nucleotides) under Glomeromycotina sp. RNAcentral describes it as "partial small subunit ribosomal RNA". The stretch from base 44 to 216 matches the Rfam family "Eukaryotic small subunit ribosomal RNA", at positions 690 to 864 of the family's 1831-position model. The record is from RNAcentral. Lineage: Eukaryota; Fungi; Glomeromycota.